AAGACUACCCGCUGAACUUAAGCAUAUCAAUAAGCGGAGGAAAAGAAACCAACAGGGAUUGCCUCAGUAACGGCGAGUGAAGCGGCAAAAGCUCAAAUUUGAAAUCCCCCGGGAAUUGUAAUUUGAAGGACCUAUUAAAACCCUGAGAGAGCCCAAAGUCCAUUGGAAAAUGGCGCCAUAGAAGGUGAUAGCCCUGUGUGGACCUCUCUCCAGCAUACUUUUUAGGCCCAAAGAGUCGAGUUGUUUGGGAAUGCAGCUCUAAGUGGGUGGUAAAUUCCAUCUAAAGCUAAAUAUUGGCGAGAGACCGAUAGCGAACAAGUACAGUGAUGGAAAGAUGAAAAGCACUUUGAAAAGAGAGGUGAAAAAGUACGUGAAAUUGUUGAAAGGGAAGGGCUUGCAAGCAGACACAACCUCGGUUGGGCCAGCAUCGGGGCGGGGGGAAACAAAAAAGGUGUGGAAUGGGGUCUUACGAGUGUUAUAGCCCCACCCAAUAUUUCCAUCCCAUCCCGAGCCUGCGAUCUUUC
This 524-nucleotide ribosomal RNA is filed under the name Metschnikowia reukaufii. RNAcentral describes it as "eukaryotic LSU rRNA". It matches the Rfam family "Eukaryotic large subunit ribosomal RNA", at positions 17 to 578 of the family's 3401-position model. The record is from RNAcentral. Lineage: Eukaryota; Fungi; Ascomycota; Pichiomycetes; Serinales; Metschnikowiaceae.